AUACGUAGGUGACAAGCGUUAUCCGGAUUUACUGGGCGUAAAGGGCGUGUAGGCGGUCUUGCAAGUCAGAAGUGAAAUUCCUGAGCUCAACUCGGGCGCUGCUUCUGAAACUGCAGGACUUGAGUGCUGGAGGGGAUAGCGGAAUUCCUAGUGGAGCGGUAAAAUGCGCAGAUAUUAGGAAGAACACCGGUGGCGAAGGCGGCUAUCUGGUCAGUAACUGGCGCUGAGGCGCGAAAGCGUGGGGAGCAAACAGGAUUGUAUACCCUGGUAGUCCACGCUGUAAACGAUGAAUACUAGGUGUAGGGGGUAUCGACUCCCUCUGUGCCGCAGUUAACACAAUAAGUAUUCCGCCUGGGGAGUACGGCCGCAAGGUUGAAACUCAAAGGAAUUGGCGGGG
RNAcentral lists this ribosomal RNA (397 nucleotides) under uncultured bacterium. RNAcentral describes it as "partial 16S ribosomal RNA". It matches the Rfam family "Bacterial small subunit ribosomal RNA", at positions 523 to 918 of the family's 1533-position model. The record is from RNAcentral.